CAGACAACAGGGAUUGCCCUAGUAACGGCGAGUGAAGCGGCAACAGCUCAAAUUUGAAAGCUGGCUCCGGCCCGCGUUGUAAUUUGCAGAGGAUGCUUCUGGCAAGGUGCCUUCCGAGUUCCCUGGAACGGGACGCCACAGAGGGUGAGAGCCCCGUAUGGAUGGACACCAAGCCUGUGUGAAGCUCCUUCAACGAGUCGAGUAGUUUGGGAAUGCUGCUCAAAAUGGGAGGUAAAUCUCUUCUAAAGCUAAAUACCGGCCAGAGACCGAUAGCGCACAAGUAGAGUGAUCGAAAGAUGAAAAGCACCUUGAAAAGGGGGUUAAACAGUACGUGAAAUUGUUGAAAGGGAAGCGCUUGUGACCAGACUUGUGCCGGGCGGCUCAUCAGGGGUUCUCCCCUGUGCACUCCGCCCGGCUCAGGCCAGCAUCGGUUCUCGUGGGAGGAUAAGAACGGUGGGAACGUGGCCCCCCUCCGGGGGGGUGUUAUAGCCCACCGUACGAUACUCUCGUGGGGACCGAGGUUCGCGCUCCGCAAGGAUGCUGGCGUAAUGGUCAUCAGCGACCCGUCUUGAAACACGGACCAAGGAGUCGUCCAUUAGAGCGAGCGUUUGGGUGUAAAACCCGCACGCGUAAUGAAAGUGAACGCAGGUGAGAGCUUCGGCGCAUCAUCGACCGAUCCUGAUGUCUUCGGAUGGAUUUGAGUAAGAGUUUUAACGGACGGACCCGAAAGACAGUGAACUAUGCUUGUAUAGGGUGAAGCCAGAGGAAACUCUGGUGGAGGCUCGCAGCGGUUCUGACGUGCAAAUCGAUCGUCAAAUAUGAGCAUGGGGGCGAAA
Molecule: ribosomal RNA, 836 nt
Filed under: Cytospora phialidica
Lineage: Eukaryota; Fungi; Ascomycota; Sordariomycetes; Diaporthales; Cytosporaceae
Description: Cytospora sp. WJL-2020b partial large subunit ribosomal RNA
Rfam family: Eukaryotic large subunit ribosomal RNA
Source: RNAcentral